RNAcentral lists this ribosomal RNA (483 nucleotides) under Triticum aestivum (bread wheat). Its description in RNAcentral is "partial small subunit ribosomal RNA". Lineage: Eukaryota; Viridiplantae; Streptophyta; Magnoliopsida; Poales; Poaceae. The record is from RNAcentral.
AUGUCUACCAAUGGCCUACAGUUAAACGGGGCCAUUGACGGAGAUGCCGUGUGGAGCUCUCAGGUAAUGCCACUGGAGUCUCAGGAUUCCAUGAGCGCUGUGAAUGUGGAGGCGGUCGCCGCCGGCGAGCCACAGGCCAUGGGAAAGGGGGCCACAUAUGACGUUUGCUCCGAAGCGACCAGCGGGUGGACGCGAAGGAUUGGGAAGGCACCUGAGGAGAGGGAGAUGAACGCUGAUAGGAAAACAACACUUGAAUUGUCAGUUCGUGCUUAUGCAGAGACAAAAUCUGGGCCAGUCGUCAAUCCAACAAUUGGCACAUCUUUUGACUUGUUGGAUGAAGCCUAUGAGUUCUACAACCUCUAUUCAUGGGAAUAUGGUUUCGGUGUGAGGCUUGCGAAAAGCAGACUGAAUGUUAACCGGAAGAGAUGUAUGCAAGAAAUAUUGUGUGCUUGUGCGGGAAAACCAAUGAGGGAAAAUAGUUGA